This is a long non-coding RNA of Ixodes scapularis (black-legged tick), 396 nucleotides long. RefSeq lists it as uncharacterized. The record is from RefSeq and is a predicted model, not a curated record. The transcript is spliced from 3 exons. NCBI's taxonomy places the organism in Eukaryota, Metazoa, Arthropoda, Arachnida, Ixodida, Ixodidae.
UGCUUUGGUUUGUGGACAUUUUGGCUACAUUUUUUUUCAUAAGUAUUCACGGCACCCUCAUAGCACCAUGCCUUAUCGUACAGACGCGAAGCCUGGGUUCGAUUCUGCAAAAACCGAAGUCUACAGGGGAAGACUCCUUGGCAGCUACGGGGCAGGGUAGUUUGCUCCUUACAUCUCGAGGAGUCAGCUUUCCUGCGCCUUGGACACCUCCGCCAAAAUGCGUGGCCAAGUUACCACAAAAAAGACGACACAUGGCAACAUUUUCAGCAAAAGCUCUCCGGGUUCAGCAGUCGUGCAUGAGGUGGGUUCGCCACCCUCAUCGAGCUACACAUGCUUCGGCAGUUAAGACUCACGGAGCUUCUGUAGUCACCCUGACGACCAGUCUUCCGAAAUGAA